This 195-nucleotide unclassified non-coding RNA is filed under the name uncultured Russula. RNAcentral's name for it is "sequence contains ITS1". The record is from RNAcentral. Lineage: Eukaryota; Fungi; Basidiomycota; Agaricomycetes; Russulales; Russulaceae.
UCGUACAACCGAGGUGCAAGGGCUGUCGCUGACCUUUGAAGGUCGUGCACGCCCGAGCGCUCUCGCCACAAUCCAUCUCACUCACCCCUUUGUGCAUCACCGCGUGGGGUCCCCCUUUGCGGGGAGGGCUCGCGUUUUCACACAAAACUUGAUACAGUCUAGAAUGUUUAUUUUUGCGGUAACACGCAAUCAAUA